RNAcentral lists this ribosomal RNA (433 nucleotides) under uncultured bacterium. RNAcentral describes it as "partial 16S ribosomal RNA". It matches the Rfam family "Bacterial small subunit ribosomal RNA", at positions 29 to 507 of the family's 1533-position model. The record is from RNAcentral.
AGCGAACGCUGGCGGCAGGCCUAACACAUGCAAGUCGAACGAACUCUUCGGAGUUAGUGGCGGACGGGUGAGUAACACGUGGGAACGUGCCUUUUGGUUCGGAAUAACUCAGGGGAACUUGUGCUAAUACCGAAUGUGCCCUUCGGGGGAAAGAUUUAUCGCCAUUAGAGCGGCCCGCGUCUGAUUAGCUAGUUGGUGAGGUAACGGCUCACCAAGGCGACGAUCAGUAGCUGGUCUGAGAGGAUGACCAGCCACACUGGGACUGAGACACGGCCCAGACUCCUACGGGAAGCAGCAGUGGGGAAUCUUGCGCAAUGGGCGAAAGCCUGACGCAGCCAUGCCGCGUGAAUGAUGAAGGUCUUAGGAUUGUAAAAUUCUUUCACCGGGGACGAUAAUGACGGUACCCGGAGAAGAAGCCCCGGCUAACUUCGUG